This 882-nucleotide ribosomal RNA is filed under the name Stenocarpella maydis. Its description in RNAcentral is "eukaryotic LSU rRNA". It matches the Rfam family "Eukaryotic large subunit ribosomal RNA", at positions 60 to 974 of the family's 3401-position model. The record is from RNAcentral. Lineage: Eukaryota; Fungi; Ascomycota; Sordariomycetes; Diaporthales; Diaporthaceae.
AGAAACCAACAGGGAUUGCCCUAGUAACGGCGAGUGAAGCGGCAACAGCUCAAAUUUGAAAUCUGGCCUCGGCCCGAGUUGUAAUUUGCAGAGGAUGCUUCUGGCGCGGUGCCUUCCGAGUUCCCUGGAACGGGACGCCACAGAGGGUGAGAGCCCCGUAUGGUCGGACACCAAGCCUGUGUGAAGCUCCUUCGACGAGUCGAGUAGUUUGGGAAUGCUGCUCUAAAUGGGAGGUAAAUCUCUUCUAAAGCUAAAUACCGGCCAGAGACCGAUAGCGCACAAGUAGAGUGAUCGAAAGAUGAAAAGCACCUUGAAAAGGGGGUUAAAUAGUACGUGAAAUUGUUGAAAGGGAAGCACUUGUGACCAGACUUGGGCCGGGCGGCUCAUCAGGGGUUCUCCCCUGUGCACUCCGCCCGGCACAGGCCAGCAUCGGUUUUCGCGGGGGGACAAGACCGCCGGGAACGUAGCACCCUCCGGGGUGUGUUAUAGCCCGGCGGACGAUACCCCCGCGGGGACCGAGGUCCGCGCUCCGCAAGGAUGCUGGCGUAAUGGUCACCAGUGACCCGUCUUGAAACACGGACCAAGGAGUCGUCCAUUAGAGCGAGCGUUUGGGUGUAAAACCCGCACGCGUAAUGAAAGUGAACGCAGGUGAGAGCUUCGGCGCAUCAUCGACCGAUCCUGAUGUUCUCGGAAGGAUUUGAGUAAGAGUUUUAACGGACGGACCCGAAAGACAGUGAACUAUGCUUGUAUAGGGUGAAGCCAGAGGAAACUCUGGUGGAGGCUCGCAGCGGUUCUGACGUGCAAAUCGAUCGUCAAAUAUGAGCAUGGGGGCGAAAGACUAAUCGAACUGUCUAGUAGCUGGUUACCGCCGAAGUUUCCCUC